CGAGAACUUGGAAUCUUCUGUUGAGCUGGAGACCAACGAAAUGAUCAGGCAGCAAUCUCUUUGUUCUGGAAAUUAGUUGAGACUAUUUAACAGCCUCAGGGGCACCCUCCGCAGCACAGGGAACGGGGAUUCUCGGUGGAUAUUUCCUUUGCUGGAGGAGUAAAUCAGGUUGUGAGGACAAUGACACAGAGAAAGGUGUCCAUUUUAUUGAAGGAUAGGAUCUGCCAUUGGCCUGAGGAUCAUCAAUUAACUAUCCUGGCUGGCCAGCCACUCCUGCCCCCCUCGGGAUCCUCUGCCUUCAGGUCCUCAACAAAGGGAUUAUCUACAUAUGCUACCACACCUAACUAAAAAAAUAAUCUGGCAUAGCUUCUGAGUAUUUGAACUCAGUUCUUCAUGCUUCCAAGUAGUUUAAAGUACAAUAAAAGCAAGUACUUUAUUAACUGAGCCAUCUCCCCUACUUCCCUUUCUGGAAGCAAUUUGUGAGGUUGACUGGCUGUGUAUGAGGUCACUGCUGGGAUGUGACAAUUGAGAAGUAUAUUCACAGGAACACAAAUCAACAGACAAAUUUUGGGUGGGGAAUGAUUUUCCCAGAUUGCGUAAUAGUCUAUCCUGCUUCUCCAUGGGAAUAAUCUUUAGAAAUCUGGGUGUGACAGGGCAAGAAUGGAUUUAGGAAGGUCGGGUAUUUGGCAAAUACAGUUUGUAGAAUCACCACCCCCAUCCACCAAGGACUUAUGUUUCUGAGAUACAAAUAGAAGAAGACAGAGGUGCUGGGCUUACAAAAUAGAAUGGACCCAAAGGCUAAUGCUACAAAUCUGUCUGGCAGGCCCUAAACAGUUGCAUGGCACUUUGCUCAUAGUAUUUGUUUCUCUCUUGCUUCAUGCUAGUAGCAUUUAUUUCUGCAUGGUGAACUUGAUUCUUUAAAUGUCAGCAACUUAAACACAGCACUCAGCUGCGCCACAAAUAACCCCAGCUCUGGGGUGCGUGAUACUUUACCAAAAACGUGAAAAUGGGCUUGUUUGUUUGGAUAACGUGAAGUGUUUUUGUUUCUUCAUUUCUGCUUUAAGUCUGAGGACUCUGGCAUCUACCUCAUCCGCCGUGCAUUUGAGGCUGGUAGCAAUAUUGGGAAAGAAAUAUGAUAAUGACCGCUGCCACCAAGCGCUCUCUUUCUCAGCUCCGGUUUCACAUGUGUUGGUUCAAUGGAAUAUUCAAUAGACAUUUAUAGGAAAUAAAUUGAGAGAUGAAUG
Molecule: long non-coding RNA, 1244 nt
Filed under: Mus pahari (shrew mouse)
Lineage: Eukaryota; Metazoa; Chordata; Mammalia; Rodentia; Muridae
Description: lncRNA (MGP_PahariEiJ_G0005074.1)
Source: RNAcentral